This is a long non-coding RNA of Prosopis cineraria, 3580 nucleotides long. RefSeq lists it as uncharacterized. The transcript is spliced from 4 exons. Lineage: Eukaryota; Viridiplantae; Streptophyta; Magnoliopsida; Fabales; Fabaceae. The record is from RefSeq and is a predicted model, not a curated record.
CAAUUAACAUGGCUUAACACGCAACGUGGGUGAGCCGUUACUCGAAUUAAUGCAAGUGGGUCCACACCCCAAACAAACUUGGCGAGGAAUCCAUUCUCGCGAACACACACGACAUUCCAACCGUGGAGAGUGGAGACCACCUCGGCUCUCUCCUUGCAAACGCAGGCGCCGCCUCAGUUCCCUUUGAGAUACCCGUUCGUUUUCGUCGUCAACCUCAGUGAGUCCUUCCAGCCGACGAAGAAACGUCUUCACUCAAGCUCCAUGGACGCAAAGCCCCGCUGUUGUUCAAGACGCAAGUUCGAAUAUGUCCUUCCGCCUACCUUUAUCAGUUGUCUCCGUCGAUUCCCUCGCUGUCGUCGUCAAAGACCCAUUUUGUCUAUUUUCUCGCAGUUCACCCAAAAGCCUUCCUCCCUCUUCAUUUGGACUUUCACUCAGAAACCCACUUAUCCCACAUGCCAUUCCUCCUCUUUUUCCAUUUGCCACUCACCGUUGGAAUAUCUGUUCAACCUCAAAUGAUCUCUAAAACUCAUUCACCCUCUCAUUCCCUCCACGAGUCCUUUAAUGGCCUUCGCUGCUUCUUCUCAGUGAGACCGCCGCCCUCGCCUUUCAAAUUUGAUGUGGGUGCAGUCAUUUGCAAUCAUGGGUUACAACCAGAAGCAGCUGGCUCUCUUAGCCAUGGCCAAGGACUUGGGUGACGAUAUCGGAUUUGUAGCAGGCAAACUCAGUCAGGUUUCGCCCUUCUCUUGAGUUAUCAUCGUCGUGGCUCUUCAGAAUUUCUCUGGUUACUUCCUGCUCUGGCUUGUCAUCACCCGAAACAUCCUUUCUCUGCACCUCUGGGCGGACUCUUCAAAAAUCCUAGAGCAAGAUCUUUUCUCACGUAAUAAUCUUGAAAAAUGCCAACGGACAGCUUGACUCGGCUUCAAGCGAAUGAAAGCAAGCUUUUUCGCAUGAAUCGCCUUCACUCUCCAGUACCGAAUCCAAACCUGGUGAUUGAAAAGGCACGAGUGUUGCAUAGUGGAGCAUGGAACGCUUUGUCCAUUGAACAAUGUGAAUUCCCUUCUCCUAUUGACACUUGAUCAUAAGGGCUCCUUUGUUUGGGGGUUUGUUGAUUAGAUUAAAUCUAUUUCAGCUUUCAUGGCUGAGGCUCUUGCAUUAAGAAGAGCUCUCAUAUUGGCAAUUGAUCUUGGCAAGAACAAGAUUGUAUGUGAGACUGACUGUCAACUUUUAGUCUCUUCUGUGUCUCAGUAAAUUCCAAAUCUAUAUGACAAGAAGUGUCGUGGUAUCAUUCAGGGAAUUAUUGAGCUCUUUGCAUCUAUGGUUGGGUUUUCUCUGUCAUUCACUCCUAGGAGGGGUAACUGUGUAGCUGAUCAUCUUGUGACUGAUGCUUGUAAGGGAGUGCACCCUUUGGGGUGGGUUUUGGAAACAUCACUCUCUUUGCUUUCUUUUCUAACUGGUGUUGCAGGAUGGCCAUUGGUUAAUUUUUCUGAUGCUUGUUUGUUACGUGUCCUAGUUUUUUUAGUUUGGUAUGUUUGCUGUUGUUUUCUUUCCUGGAUAUUGGCUGCUUUGUUUUCAGUUAAUAGAACUAUAAACCAAUAAGAAAAGGUAAGAAGGUGCUCAUUUGGACCCUAUGAGUUAAUUUUUAAUAGUUGUUUUGGUUUUUAGUAAUUUGAUGUCCAAUUAUGUUUUGUGACUGUCAUGGAGAUUUUUUCCUCAAAGUAUAGGUGAAAAUUCUAUUUUGGUAGGAAUCUUUUUGGCUAUAGAUAAGUGUUGAUCAUUUUGGCUGGCUUGGAUUGAAUUUUUCUGUUUUGAUCCUUCGAUUUUGCUAGAAAGUGUGCUUUAUUCUUGUUUAUGUGAAUUGAAAGUGUUGUAUUUUUGCUGAAAUAAUGCUUGUGCAUACUACAUUGUUGUGGUUCCAACAAAUUGCAUUGUUUCCGACCAUGAACAUAUCACCUUUGAGAGAUCUUUACUUCUCUGACUGCAUUAUGGCCUAGACAGAUAUUUGUAGCAAAUGAAAUGGUCUGAUUUCAUGAAGGAAGAGACAUAUUGAUGCGAUACUCUUUUUGUGGUUGCUGUAGAUCAUUUUUCAUUGUUAUUUGCGCAUUGUUUGUUCUGGUUUAUGGGACAAGAAAAGUUAUUAAGAUUGACCUUUAAAUUGGUAUAAACUUGCGUUGUUCUAUGUUAAAAUCAUGAAGGAAAAUCUGGAUAUGUUUUGGAGAGCAUGUGGUUUUUUACAAGUAUUUUGCUAUAGUUUUUCUUGAAAAUGAGACUAUUAAUAUUGAAAUUUUAUGUUGUGAUUUAAUGGAUGCUUUGGUUUAGAAGGAAUUAGUAUGGAUCAAGGUAUUAACGUUUAAAAGUUGUUCAAGUAUAUGUUGUUCAAUUAUGUAGUAUGGUGGGAACUCUUAAGACUAUUUGUUGUAGAAAAGUGUUGUACAUUGAGGUAGAAUUUUAACUAUACAGGUGUAGACAUGAUCAUGCUAUUUAAAAGUCUUUUACCAGAAAGCAUGUUUUAUUUUUAACGCAAACUAAAUUUUGACGCCCUGACAUUGUAGAGUUGAUUCUGUUGCUGGAAUUAAAAUUGAUAAAAAAAGUAAGAUCAUUAUUAUGAAAGUGCUUGGAUAUUGAAAUGCGUAUGCUCUUGUUUUUUUUUUUUUUUAUUUGGAUGGCAUUUAGGAGUAAAUGGCCUCACAUUAGUACAAACUAGUACAAAAAGGGCAUGAUAUCCGUUGUAAAGUCGGAUGUUGAAGAUGAUUUAUAGCUCAAAGUGUAUGUUGGAAUGUUGUCAUAUUUAAAGCCAUCCUUGAUCUAUUCUUAUCUUUUGGAUGCUAAGAUUUUUGUUUUUAUCAAUCAUGUGGCACUCAAGUACUUGAUGAGGAACUUGGUGUCUUAAUUGAGGCCGCAUGUGUGCUUGUGUCAAGUAUAAAGAUGAUUGAGGCGUUUCAUUUAUGUUCUAGUGAAGCCAAUAGUAGUGCUAAUAAUUUAUUUCUUUUAAAGUUUCUUUCAUUUUCAUUUCUUCUUUCUUUUCUACUCCUAAACCAGGCCACCCUUUUCUUCCGUUUAUUUUUUAUUCAAUUUGUAUCAGCUUGUUUUUUUAUUAUGUUAUUGAGUAAUGAACGUUAUUGGCUACUCUUCACUUCAUGGUAUUUAUGCUGCAUUUAUUAAAGCCUACAGGUAAUAAUGUUUCAAUUGUCUCAUGAUGCAUUUUGUCAUCUCCUUAAUAUGUUCUUCUAAGUGUAGAUUAUUUUGAUUACUUAGCAUAUAUGUUUACCUUAUAGUAAUUUGCUUACUUGGUUGAAUGUUUGUGGUUGUAGGGUGCAAUUCUCCGUUGCAUGAAGGUGAUAUGGAGUCUUCUCUCUUCUUCUUUUGAGUAGGCUAGCUUGUGUUUUAAAACACCUCUUUUGUUUCUUUUGCUUAAUUAAUAUUUAGGAUUAGUUUGCUUGGUUUAUUUUUCCAUUAAUCUUCAUGUUAGUUAUUUAGUCAAUUAUUUAUUUGUAUAUUUAUUGAUUUAUUCCAUUUGCUUGUAUUUACACAUGAUUGUGUACUUGUUAACUGAACCUUUACAUGAAGCUGCGUUACAUCUUUU